GGGAAUCUGCCUGAUGGAGGGGGAUAACUACUGGAAACGGUAGCUAAUACCGCAUAACGUCGCAAGACCAAAGAGGGGGACCUUCGGGCCUCUUGCCAUCAGAUGUGCCCAAAUGGGAUUAUCUAGUAGGUGGGGUAACGGCUCACCUAGGCCACUAUCCCUAGCUGGUCUGAGAGGAUGACCACCCACACUGGAACUGAGACACGGUCCAGACUCCUACGGGAGGCAACAGUGGGGAAUAUUGCACAAUGGGCGCAAGCCUGAUGCACCCAUGCCGCGUGUAUGAAAAAGGCCUUCGGGUUGUAAAGUACUUUCAGCGGGGAGGAAGGCGUUGAGGUUAAUAACCUCAGCGAUUGACGUUACCCGCAGAAGAAGCACCGGCUAACUCCGUGCCAGCAGCCGCGGUAAUACGGAGGGUG
This 419-nucleotide ribosomal RNA is filed under the name Enterobacter roggenkampii. Its description in RNAcentral is "bacterial SSU rRNA". It matches the Rfam family "Bacterial small subunit ribosomal RNA", at positions 120 to 534 of the family's 1533-position model. Lineage: Bacteria; Pseudomonadati; Pseudomonadota; Gammaproteobacteria; Enterobacterales; Enterobacteriaceae. The record is from RNAcentral.